This 18-nucleotide unclassified non-coding RNA is filed under the name Chlamydomonas reinhardtii. RNAcentral's name for it is "small RNA Cre_1820". Lineage: Eukaryota; Viridiplantae; Chlorophyta; Chlorophyceae; Chlamydomonadales; Chlamydomonadaceae. The record is from RNAcentral.
GGACUUGAAUUGGACGGA